This 444-nucleotide ribosomal RNA is filed under the name uncultured prokaryote. RNAcentral's name for it is "bacterial SSU rRNA". It matches the Rfam family "Bacterial small subunit ribosomal RNA", at positions 338 to 774 of the family's 1533-position model. The record is from RNAcentral.
CCUACGGGGGCAGCAGUGAGGAAUUUUGCGCAAUGGGGGCAAUCCUGACGCAGCAACGCCGCGUGGGUGAUGAAGGCCUUCGGGUCGUAAAGCCCUGUCAGGUGGGAAGAAUGUCCCGGGACUGAACAGGUUUCGGGAGUGACGGUACCACCAGAGGAAGCACCGGCUAACUCCGUGCCAGCAGCCGCGGUAAUACGGAGGGUGCAAGCGUUAUUCGGAAUUACUGGGCGUAAAGCGCGUGGAGGCGGUCCUGCAAGUCGGAUGUGAAAGCCCCGGGCUUAACCCGGGAAGUGCAUUGGAAACUGCAGGUCUUGAGUACUGGAGAGGAUGGGGGAAUUCCCGGUGUAGAGGUGAAAUUCGUAGAGAUCGGGAGGAAUAUCAGUGGCGAAGGCGCCCAUCUGGACGGUAACUGACGCUGAGACGCGAAAGCGUGGGGAGCAAACA